This 253-nucleotide ribosomal RNA is filed under the name uncultured bacterium. Its description in RNAcentral is "partial 16S ribosomal RNA". It matches the Rfam family "Bacterial small subunit ribosomal RNA", at positions 524 to 776 of the family's 1533-position model. The record is from RNAcentral.
UACGUAGGGUGCAAGCGUUGUCCGGAAUUAUUGGGCGUAAAGAGCUCGUAGGCGGUCUGUCGCGUCUGCUGUGAAAACUCAGGGCUUAACCCUGAGCUUGCAGUGGGUACGGGCAGACUAGAGUGCGGUAGGGGAGACUGGAAUUCCUGGUGUAGCGGUGAAAUGCGCAGAUAUCAGGAGGAACACCGGUGGCGAAGGCGGGUCUCUGGGCCGAUACUGACGCUGAGGAGCGAAAGCAUGGGUAGCGAACAGG